CAAGGAUAAUAAAAUAAACCAAUCGGCAAAAAGAAAAAAUUAUCAAUAAAAAUUUAACCUUUGGAAAAAUGGAGGCAAAUAAAAUUGUUACAAUGUUUCUAAUGUGCAUGGUUGUGUUUUCAGCUAUGCACAUUUCCAUGGCUGAAGAUUUUCCGGGCUGCAUUGAUAGGUGUGAAAAGGAUUGCUCUGGGAAAGGCCAUGACUUUACUUACUGUAAGCUGACAUGUGAGGCUGAUUGUGGUUUGAGAGAGCUCCAAGGCAAAUUUAAGAAGCUCAUUUCUUGAACUGGACCAUGGAUGCAGGGUAUCACCCCAAGCAGGAGAUAGGGAAAAAAUUAAAUAGUAUUUUAUUUUCUUUAAUUAAUUCGCUUCACUAAUUUCCUUUUCCACUACCGUUGUAAUGCUUCUAAUGAGAUAUAAAAAUAAUUACAGUUUGAUUU
This is a long non-coding RNA of Lycium barbarum (goji berry), 439 nucleotides long. RefSeq lists it as uncharacterized. The record is from RefSeq and is a predicted model, not a curated record. NCBI's taxonomy places the organism in Eukaryota, Viridiplantae, Streptophyta, Magnoliopsida, Solanales, Solanaceae. The transcript has 2 exons.